Molecule: long non-coding RNA, 2332 nt
Filed under: Triticum aestivum (bread wheat)
Lineage: Eukaryota; Viridiplantae; Streptophyta; Magnoliopsida; Poales; Poaceae
Description: long non-coding RNA (TAES_LNC015586)
Source: RNAcentral
GCAUAUGUCCGCAUGCGCAUACUAUGACCGUAUCUGCAUGCUUGAGUCAAGUUAGAUAACCACAAAACCGUAUUUUCUAAGUUGUAGUAGCAAACUAAACAUACGACGCAAGUUUUAUAACUCCCAAUGAUAUUACCUCAAAAAUCAAGAUAGGCCACCAACAGAUACAACAAAAGACAUCUCGGUUCUAAGGUAGGAACCCACGCUGGACAUGAACAAACGAGGGUUCAACAUCUAUAUCUGUUUACAGCACCGCGGAACGCUAUAAGCACAAAGAGGAACGGCCUGAGAUAGCAACCACCUUGCUUCAAAAUCCUGUCCAGAACAUAGGAAGAACAUAAGUACAACAAGAUCACAACAUUGAUUUUGAUUUUGACGCAUGUUCUGACAUUGCACCAAAUCCUGGCUCUGCCACGCUGCAUGUGAUUCACCAUCACAUGGAGAGAAGAGAGUACGACAUUUACCACUGUUGGUUGUUUGCAUACGCAUGGAUACUCAUCACAGACAACUAGUAUUACUGGCAGACAAGUACUACUCCUACCUCCUAGUUUGACCUACCGAUGACUUGGGUUGAGUCGUCGUCGGGUAGAUUGUGACGCCCCCGAUUCAAUCGUAUACUAAUUAUAUAUGCAAACGUGUACGAUCAAAAUCAGGGACUCAUGGGAAGAUAUCACAACUCAACUCUAAAAAGUAAAAUAAGUCAUACAAGGAUCAUAAUACAAGCCAGGGGCCUCGAGGGCUCGAAUACAAAUGCUCGAUCAUAGACGAGUCAGCAGAAGCAACAAUAUCUGAGUACAGACAUUAGUUAAAUAAGUUGCCAUAACAUGGCUAGCACAAACUGGGAUACAGAUCGAAAGAGACGCAUGCCUCCUGCCUGGGAUCCACCUAAACUACUCCUGGUCGUCGUUAGCGGUGGCGUCAAGCUCCUGGGCUCCAGCAUCUGGUUGCGACAACCAGGUAGAAUAGAAAGGGGAAAAAGAGGGAGAAAAACAACCGUGAGUACUCAUCCAAAGUACUCGCAAGCAAGGAUCUACACUACAUAUGCAUGUGUAUCUGUGUAAAGAGGCAAUAUUGGUGAACUGAACUGCAGAAUGUCAGAAUAAGAUGGGGAUAGCCAGUCCUGUCGAAGACUACGCUUCUGGCAGCCUCCAUCUUGCAGCAUGCCGAAGAGAGUAGAUCGUAAGUUCACCAAGUAUCAUCGCAUAGCAUAAUCCUACCCGGCGAUCCUCCCCUCGUCGCCCUGUGUCAGAGCAAUCACUGGGUUAUAUCUGGCACUUGGAAGGGUGUGUUUUAUUAAGUAUCCGGUUCCAGUUGUCAUAAGGUCAAGGUACAACUCCAAGUCGUCCUGUUACCGAAGAUCACGGCUAUUCGAAUAGAUCAACUUCCCUGCAGGGGUGCACCACAUUACACAACACGCUCGAUCCCCUUUGGCCGGACACACUUUCCUGGGUCAUGCCCGGCCUCGGAAGAUCAACACGUUGCAGCCCCACCUAGGCACAACAGAGAGGUCAGCACGCCGGUCUAAAUCCUAUGCGCGCAGGGGUCUGGGCCCAUCGCCCAUUGCACACCUGCACAUUGCGUGGGUGGCCGGAAGCAGACCUAGCCCCCUUAAUAUAAGAGCAGGCUUAUGGUCCAAUCCGGCGCGCGCCGCUCAGUCGCUGACGUCAAGAAGGCUUCGGCUGAUACCACGACGUCGAGUGCCCAUAACUAUUCCCGCGUAGUUGGUUAGUGCGUAUAGGACAGUGGCCAGACUCAGAUCAAAUACCAAGAUAUCCUUAAGCGUGUUAUUUGAAGUAUCCGCGAACGCCGACCAGGGCCAGGCCCACCUCUCUCCUAGGUGGUCUCAACCUGCCCUGUCGCUUCGCCACAAAGUAACAGUCGGGGGCCGUCGGGAACCCAGGCCCACCUCUACCGGGAUGGAGCCACCUGCCCCUUCAGCCCCCAUCUCCGAACAGUAUCAUAAGUAAUGUAACAAUAUAAAGUAUAUAGAAUAUGCCCGUGAUCACCUCCCGAAGUGAUCACGACCCAGUAGUAUAGCAUGACAGACGGACAAGAGUGUAGGGCCACUGAUGGAAUACUAGCAUCCUAUACUAAGCAUUUAGGAUUGCAGGUAAGGGUAACAAAUGUAGCAACAAUGACAGGCUAUGCAGCAGAAUAGGAUUAACUGGAAGUAGUAACAUGCUACACUACUCUAAUGCAAGCAGUAGAGAGAAGGAAUAGGCGAUAUCUGGUGCUCAAGGGGGAGUGGGGGGCUUACCUGGAAGCUCAGCCGAGAAAGAGGGGUCGUCAACACCGUAGUCGUGCUGGGUAGCAGCGGCGUCGGUCUCAGUGU